Molecule: ribosomal RNA, 255 nt
Filed under: uncultured bacterium
Lineage: Bacteria
Description: partial 16S ribosomal RNA
Rfam family: Bacterial small subunit ribosomal RNA
Source: RNAcentral
UACGUAGGGUGCGAGCGUUAAUCGGAAUUACUGGGCGUAAAGCGUGCGCAGGCGGUCUGUUAAGACCGAUGUGAAAUCCCCGGGCUUAACCUGGGAACUGCAUUGGUGACUGGCAGGCUUUGAGUGUGGCAGAGGGAGGUAGAAUUCCAGGUGUAGCGGUGAAAUGCGUAGAUAUCUGGAGGAAUACCGGUGGCGAAGGCGGCAUCCUGGACCAUUACUGACGCUGAGGCGCGAAAGCUAGGGGAGCAAACGGGG